GAAUAUUGGACAAUGGGGGGAACCCUGAUCCAGCCAUGCCGCGUGUGUGAAGAAGGCCUUUUGGUUGUAAAGCACUUUAAGCGUGGAGGAGGCUACUUAGAUUCAUACCCUAGGAUAGUGGACGUUACUUGCAGAAUAAGCACCGGCUACCUCUGUGCCAGCCGCCGCGGUAAGACAGAGGGUGCAAGGGGUAAUCGGAUUUACUGGGCGUAAAGCGCGCGUAGGUGGCCAAUUAAGUCAAAUGUGAAAUCCCCGAGCUUAACUUGGGAAUUGCAUUCGAUACUGGUUGGCUAGAGUAUGGGAGAGGAUGGUAGAAUUCCAGGUGUAGCGGUGAAAUGCGUAGAGAUCUGGAGGAAUACCGAUGGCGAAGGCAGCCAUCUGGCCUAAUACUGACACUGAGGUGCGAAAGCAUGGGGAGCAAACAG
This 425-nucleotide ribosomal RNA is filed under the name uncultured bacterium. RNAcentral describes it as "partial 16S ribosomal RNA". It matches the Rfam family "Bacterial small subunit ribosomal RNA", at positions 359 to 775 of the family's 1533-position model. The record is from RNAcentral.